RNAcentral lists this ribosomal RNA (253 nucleotides) under uncultured bacterium. RNAcentral's name for it is "partial 16S ribosomal RNA". It matches the Rfam family "Bacterial small subunit ribosomal RNA", at positions 524 to 776 of the family's 1533-position model. The record is from RNAcentral.
UACGUAGGGGGCGAGCGUUGUCCGGAAUGAUUGGGCGUAAAGCGCGCGCAGGCGGUCCUUUAAGUCUGAUGUAAAAUCCCGCGGCUUAACCGCGGAAGGUCAUUGGAAACUGGGGGACUUGAGGCUAGGAGAGGGAAGUGGAAUUCCUGGUGUAGCGGUGAAAUGCGUAGAGAUCAGGAGGAAUACCGAUGGCGAAAGCAACUUCCUGGCCUAGAACUGACGCUGAGGCGCGAAAGCGUGGGGAGCAAACAGG